RNAcentral lists this long non-coding RNA (203 nucleotides) under Elaeis guineensis (African oil palm). Its description in RNAcentral is "long non-coding RNA (EGUI_LNC018422)". The record is from RNAcentral. Lineage: Eukaryota; Viridiplantae; Streptophyta; Magnoliopsida; Arecales; Arecaceae.
AUCCGACUAUGAGAAGGAGCAACAAAUUGAGACAUUGGCCCCAUGCAAGGUGUCAUUUCGAUGAUCUACAGCUAUUGCUACUUGCUAGCCAACAGAGAACGCAACUAGUCAACAAGCUCCACCACCGAAGGUUCUUCAGCCACCUCCAUAGUAAGUAGCAGCCAUUGGUGUGGAGCAGUUCCAUUUGCUAUUUCAAUAAGUCC